Molecule: transfer RNA, 71 nt
Filed under: Clostridioides difficile
Lineage: Bacteria; Bacillati; Bacillota; Clostridia; Peptostreptococcales; Peptostreptococcaceae
Description: tRNA-Asp
Rfam family: tRNA
About the family: Transfer RNA (tRNA) molecules are approximately 80 nucleotides in length. Their secondary structure includes four short double-helical elements and three loops (D, anti-codon, and T loops).
Source: RNAcentral
GGUAGUUCAGUUGGUUAGAAUGCCAGCCUGUCACGCUGGAGGUCGAGGGUUCGAACCCUUCCAGGUCGCCA